This 460-nucleotide ribosomal RNA is filed under the name uncultured bacterium. RNAcentral describes it as "partial 16S ribosomal RNA". It matches the Rfam family "Bacterial small subunit ribosomal RNA", at positions 338 to 795 of the family's 1533-position model. The record is from RNAcentral.
CCUACGGGUGGCAGCAGUGAGGAAUAUUGGUCAAUGGGCGCUAGCCUGAACCAGCCAAGUAGCGUGAAGGAUGACUGCCCUAUGGGUUGUAAACUCCUUUUAUAUGGGAAUAAAGUGCAGUAUGUAUACUCUUUUGCAUGUACCUUAUGAAUAAGGAUCGGCUAACUCCGUGCCAUCCGCCGCGGUAAUACGGAGGAUCCGAUCGUUACUCGGAUUUAUUGGGUUUAAAGGGAGCGUAGGCGGGGUAUUAAGUCAGUUGUGAAAGUUUGCGGCUCAACCGUAAAAUUGCAGUUGAUACUGGCAUCCUUGAGUACAGUAGAGGUAGGCAGAAUUCGUGGUGUAGCGGUGAAAUGCUUAGAUAUCACGAAGAACUCCGAUUGCGAAGGCAGCCUGCUGGACUGUAACUGACGCUGAUGCUCGAAAGUGUGGGUAUCAAACAGGAUUAGAUACCCUGGUAGUC